Molecule: ribosomal RNA, 492 nt
Filed under: uncultured bacterium
Lineage: Bacteria
Description: partial 16S ribosomal RNA
Rfam family: Bacterial small subunit ribosomal RNA
Source: RNAcentral
AGUGAACGCUGGCGGUAGGCCUAACACAUGCAAGUCGAACGGCAGCACAGUAAGAGCUUGCUCUUACGGGUGGCGAGUGGCGGACGGGUGAGGAAUACAUCGGAAUCUACUUUUUCGUGGGGGAUAACGUAGGGAAACUUACGCUAAUACCGCAUACGACCUACGGGUGAAAGCAGGGGAUCUUCGGACCUUGCGCGAUUGAAUGAGCCGAUGUCGGAUUAGCUAGUUGGCGGGGUAAAGGCCCACCAAGGCGACGAUCCGUAGCUGGUCUGAGAGGAUGAUCAGCCACACUGGAACGGAGACACGGUCCAGACUCCUACGGGAGGCAGCAGUGGGGAAUAGUAGACAAUGGGCGCAAGCCUGAUCCAGCCAUACCGCGUGGGUGAAGAAGGCCUUCGGGUUGUAAAGCCCUUUUGUUGGGAAAGAAAAGCAGCAGGUUAAUACCCCGCUGUUCUGACAGUACCCAAAGAAUAAGCACCGGCUAACUUCGUG